This 479-nucleotide ribosomal RNA is filed under the name uncultured bacterium. Its description in RNAcentral is "bacterial SSU rRNA". It matches the Rfam family "Bacterial small subunit ribosomal RNA", at positions 335 to 799 of the family's 1533-position model. The record is from RNAcentral.
ACUCCUACGGGAGGCAGCAGUGGGGAAUAUUGCACAAUGGGCGCAAGCCUGAUGCAGCCAUGCCGCGUGUGUGAAGAAGGCCUUCGGGUUGUAAGCACUUUUCAGUUGUGAGGAAGGUGGUGUCGUUAAUAGCGGCAUCAUUUUGACGUUUUAGCAACAGAAGAAGCACCGGCUAACUCCGUGCCAGCAGCCGCGGUAAUACGGAGGGUGCGAGCGUUAAUCGGAAUUACUGGGCGUAAAGCGCAUGCAGGUGGUUUGUUAAGUCAGAUGUGAAAAGCCCGGGGCUCAACCUCGGAAACUGCAUUUGAAACUGGCAGACUAGAGUACUGUAGAGGGGGGUAGAAUUUCAGGUGUAGCGGUGAAAUGCGUAGAGAUCUGAAGGAAUACCGGUGGCGAAGGCGGCCCCCUGGGACAGAUACUGACACUCAGAUGCGAAAGCGUGGGGAGCAAACAGGAUUAGAUACCCUGGUAGCACAGAG